Molecule: ribosomal RNA, 459 nt
Filed under: Pheretima sp. NVizcaya2
Lineage: Eukaryota; Metazoa; Annelida; Clitellata; Crassiclitellata; Megascolecidae
Description: partial 16S rRNA
Rfam family: Bacterial large subunit ribosomal RNA
Source: RNAcentral
GUAUUCCUGCCCAGUGACAUCACGUUCAACGGCCGCGGUAUCCUAACCGUGCAAAGGUAGCAUAAUCACUUGCCUAUUAAUUGUAGGCUAGAAUGAAAGGAUCAACGAAAUAAAGACUGUCUCAAUUAGUCACCUAAAAAUUAUUCUCUAUUUGAAGAAAAAUAAAUAACCUCGAAGGACAAGAAGACCCUAUAGAGCUUUAUUCUAUGUAUAGAACUACGCUAUAAAAGUAUUCGGUUGGGGCGACCCCGGGCUAAAUAAUCACCCAUUAAAUAAAAGAUACAUGUAUCAAAUAAAUGACCCUUAUAAGAUCAAUAAAACAAGCUACCUUAGGGAUAACAGGCUAAUCCCACUCAAGAGUCCUUAUCAACAGUGGGGUUUGGCACCUCGAUGUUGGCUUAGGGUAUCUAUAUAGCGCAAAAGUUAUAUAAAGAUGGUUUGUUCAACCAGUAAUUCCCU